Molecule: non-coding RNA, 30 nt
Filed under: Homo sapiens (human)
Lineage: Eukaryota; Metazoa; Chordata; Mammalia; Primates; Hominidae
Source: RNAcentral
UGGGAAACAAUACUUUGGAUAAGGUUUGCC